AGUGAACGCUGGCGGUAUGCCUAACACAUGCAAGUCGAACGGCAGCACAGUAAGAGCUUGCUCCUACGGGUGGCGAGUGGCGGACGGGUGAGGAAUACAUCGGAAUCUACUUUUUCGUGGGGGAUAACGUAGGGAAACUUACGCUAAUACCGCAUACUACCUACGGGUGAAAGCAGGGGAUCUUCGCACCUUGCGCGAUUGAAUGAGCCGAUGUCGGAUUAGCUAGUUGGCGGGGUAAAGGCCCACCAAGGCGACGAUACGUAGCUGGUCUGAGAGGAUGAUCAGCCACACUGGAACUGAGACACGGUCCAGACUCCUACGGGAGGCAGCAGUGGGGAAUAUUGGACAAUGGGCGAAAGCCUGAUCCAGCCAUACCGCGUGGGUGAAGAAGGCCUUCGGGUUGUAAAGCCCUUUUGUUGGGAAAGAAAAGCAGCAGGUUAAUACCCCGCUGUUCUGACGGUACCCAAAGAAUAAGCACCGGCUAACUUCGUG
This 492-nucleotide ribosomal RNA is filed under the name uncultured bacterium. RNAcentral's name for it is "partial 16S ribosomal RNA". It matches the Rfam family "Bacterial small subunit ribosomal RNA", at positions 29 to 507 of the family's 1533-position model. The record is from RNAcentral.